Molecule: ribosomal RNA, 468 nt
Filed under: uncultured bacterium
Lineage: Bacteria
Description: partial 16S ribosomal RNA
Rfam family: Bacterial small subunit ribosomal RNA
Source: RNAcentral
GACGAACGCUGGCGGCGUGCUUAACACAUGCAAGUCGAACGGAAAGGCCCUGCUUUUGUGGGGUGCUCGAGUGGCGAACGGGUGGGUAACACGUGAGUAACCUGCCCUUGACUUUGGGAUAACUUAAGGAAACUGGGGCUAAUACCGGAUAGGAGCUCAUGCUGCAUGGUGGGGGUUGGAAAGUUUCGGCGGUUGUGGAUGGACUCGCGGCUUAUCAGCUUGUUGGUGGGGUAGUGGCUUACCAAGGCUUUGACGGGUAGCCGGCCUGAGAGGGUGACCGGCCACAUUGGGACUGAGAUACGGCCCAGACUCCUACGGGAGGCAGCAGUGGGGAAUAUUGCACAAUGGGCGGAAGCCUGAUGCAGCAACGCCGCGUGCGGGAUGACGGCCUUCGGGUUGUAAACCGCUUUCGCCUGUGACGAAGCGUGAGUGACGGUAAUGGGUAAAGAAGCACCGGCUAACUACGUG